AUUGAACGCUGGCGGCAGGCCUAACACAUGCAAGUCGAACGGAGCGGCGGACGGGGAAGUAAUGCCUAGUAAUCUGCCUGGUGGUGGGCUAUAACUCACGGAAACGUGCGCUAAUACCGCAUACUAUCAGGUGAGUUUAGGUUGUAUGAGCUAGUUGGUGGGGUAAAGUCUUACCAAGGCGACGAUCCGUAACUGGCCUGAGAGGAUGAUCCGUCACACUGGAACUGAGACACGGCCCAGACGCCUACGGGAGGCAGCAGUGGGGAAUAUUGGACAAUGGGCGAAAGCCUGAUCGAGCCAUGCCGCGUGUGUGAAGAAGGUCUUCGGAUUGUAAAGCACUUUAAGUUGGGAAGCGGUACCAAAAGAAUAAGCACCGGCUAACUUCGUGCCAGCAGCCGCGGUAAUAC
RNAcentral lists this ribosomal RNA (407 nucleotides) under uncultured bacterium. RNAcentral describes it as "partial 16S ribosomal RNA". It matches the Rfam family "Bacterial small subunit ribosomal RNA", at positions 30 to 526 of the family's 1533-position model. The record is from RNAcentral.